UGAGGGAUAUUGGUCAAUGGGGGAAACCCUGAACCAGCAACGCCGCGUGAGGGAUGACGGCCUUCGGGUUGUAAACCUCUGUCCUCUGUGAAGAUAAUGACGGUAGCAGAGGAGGAAGCUCCGGCUAACUACGUGCCAGCAGCCGCGGUAAUACGUAGGUGGCAAGCGUUGUCCGGAAUUACUGGGUGUAAAGGGAGCGCAGGCGGAGCUGUAAGUUGGGCGUCAAAUCUACGGGGCUUAACCCGUAACCGCGCUCAAAACUGCGGCUCUUGAGUAGUGCAGAGGCAGGCGGAAUUCCCGGUGUAGCGGUGGAAUGCGUAGAUAUCGGGAGGAACACCAGUGGCGAAGGCGGCCUGCUGGGCACCAACUGACGCUGAGGCUCGAAAGCAUGGGUAGCAAACAGGAUUAGAUACCC
Molecule: ribosomal RNA, 415 nt
Filed under: uncultured bacterium
Lineage: Bacteria
Description: bacterial SSU rRNA
Rfam family: Bacterial small subunit ribosomal RNA
Source: RNAcentral